UAGGGAAUCUUCGGCAAUGGACGGAAGUCUGACCGAGCAAACGCCGCGUGAGUGAAGAAGGUUUUCGGAUCGUAAAGCUCUGUUGUAAGAGAAGAACGAGUGUGAGAGUGGAAAGUUCACACUGUGACGGUAUCUUACCAGAAAGGGACGGCUAACUACGUGCCAGCAGCCGCGGUAAUACGUAGGUCCCGAGCGUUGUCCGGAUUUAUUGGGCGUAAAGCGAGCGCAGGCGGUUAGAUAAGUCUGAAGUUAAAGGCUGUGGCUUAACCAUAGUACGCUUUGGAAACUGUUUAACCUGAGUGCAAGAGGGGAGAGUGGAAUUCCAUGUGUAGCGGUGAAAUGCGUAGAUAUAUGGAGGAACACCGGUGGCGAAAGCGGCUCUCUGGCUUGUGACUGACGCUGAGGCUCGAAAGCGUGGGGAGCAAACAGGAUUAGAUACCCUGGUAGUCCACGCCGUAAACGAUGAGUGCUAGGUGUUAGACCCUUUCCGGGGUUUAGUGCCGCAGCUAACGCAUUAAGCACUCCGCCUGGGGAGUACGACCGCAAGGUUG
RNAcentral lists this ribosomal RNA (551 nucleotides) under uncultured bacterium. RNAcentral's name for it is "bacterial SSU rRNA". It matches the Rfam family "Bacterial small subunit ribosomal RNA", at positions 355 to 896 of the family's 1533-position model. The record is from RNAcentral.